GACGAACGCUGGCGGCGUGCUUAACACAUGCAAGUCGAACGGAAAGGCCCUUCGGGGUGCUCGAGUGGCGAACGGGUGAGUAACACGGGGGUGAUCUGCCCUGCACUUUGGGAUAAGCCUGGGAAACUGGGUCUAAUACCGAAUAGGACCACGCGCUUCAUGGUGUGUGGUGGAAAGCUUUUGCGGUGUGGGAUGGGCCCGCGGCCUAUGAGCUUGUUGGUGGGGUAAUGGCCUACCAAGGCGACGACGGGUAGCCGGCCUGGGAGGGUGACCGGCCACCAUGGGCCUGAGAUACGGCCCAGACUCCUACGGGAGGCAGCAGUGGGGAAUAUUGCACAAUGGGCGCAAGCCUGAUGCAGCGACGCCGCGUGAGGGAUGACGGCCUUCGGGUUGUAAACCUCUUUCAAUAGGGACGAAGCGCAAGUGACGGUACCUAUAGAAGAAGCACCGGCCAACUACGUG
Molecule: ribosomal RNA, 462 nt
Filed under: uncultured bacterium
Lineage: Bacteria
Description: partial 16S ribosomal RNA
Rfam family: Bacterial small subunit ribosomal RNA
Source: RNAcentral